GACGAACGCUGGCGGCGUGCUUAACACAUGCAAGUCGAACGGAAAGGCCCUGCUUUUGUGGGGUGCUCGAGUGGCGAACGGGUGAGUAACACGUGAGUAACCUGCCCUUGACUUUGUGAUAACUUCAGGAAACUGGGGCUAAUACCGGAUAGGAGCUCCUGCUGCAUGGUGGGGGUUGGAAAGUUUCGGCGGUUGGGGAUGGACUCGCGGCUUAUCAGCUUGUUGGUGGGGUAGUGGCUUACCAAGGCUUUGACGGGUAGCCGGCCUGAGAGGGGGACCGGCCACAUUGGGCCUGAGAUACGGCCCAGACUCCUACGGGAGGCAGCAGUGGGGAAUAUUGCACAAUGGGCGGAAGCCUGAUGCAGCAACGCCGCGUGCGGGAUGACGGCCUUCGGGUUGUAAACCGCUUUCGCCUGUGACGAAGCGUGAGUGACGGUAAUGGGUAAAGAAGCACCGGCUAACUACGUG
This 468-nucleotide ribosomal RNA is filed under the name uncultured bacterium. RNAcentral's name for it is "partial 16S ribosomal RNA". It matches the Rfam family "Bacterial small subunit ribosomal RNA", at positions 28 to 507 of the family's 1533-position model. The record is from RNAcentral.